Molecule: small nuclear RNA, 193 nt
Filed under: Rhizopogon vinicolor AM-OR11-026
Lineage: Eukaryota; Fungi; Basidiomycota; Agaricomycetes; Boletales; Rhizopogonaceae
Description: U2 spliceosomal RNA
Rfam family: U2 spliceosomal RNA
About the family: U2 is a small nuclear RNA (snRNA) component of the spliceosome (involved in pre-mRNA splicing). Complementary binding between U2 snRNA (in an area lying towards the 5' end but 3' to hairpin I) and the branchpoint sequence (BPS) of the intron results the bulging out of an unpaired adenosine, on the BPS, which initiates a nucleophilic attack at the intronic 5' splice site, thus starting the first of two transesterification reactions that mediate splicing.
Source: Rfam by way of RNAcentral
UUACCACUCUGGCCUAAUGGCUUAGAUCAAGUGUAGUAUCUGUUCUUAAUAGUUUAACCACUAUUAUGAGGGCACCGCUCUCAUUCUCUGGUUAUCAAAUUUUUGUCGCCUUUACUCUCUUCGAGCUCUGCUCGCAACUCGAAGGGCGCGAUGACCUUGCUAUUGCACUGUUGGCUUGUGUUGUCAGGGGUAC